AUCUCUAGCUGAGGAUACCCCUAUGUCAUCUUUAGAAGAGGACAUCCACCUCAUCCUCAGAUGAGGACACUUCUACGUCAUCUCCAGAUGAGGACAUUUUCACCUUAUCCCCAGUCGAGGAUACUUCUAUCUCAUCUCCAAUCGAGGACACUUUCAUCUUAUCUCCAGUUGAGAAUACUUUCACCUAAUCUCCUGUCGAGGAUCCUUUCAUCUCAUCUCUAU
This 222-nucleotide long non-coding RNA is filed under the name Elaeis guineensis (African oil palm). Its description in RNAcentral is "long non-coding RNA (EGUI_LNC027051)". The record is from RNAcentral. Lineage: Eukaryota; Viridiplantae; Streptophyta; Magnoliopsida; Arecales; Arecaceae.